AGGGUGGUGUUAUAUAUAUUUUAUAGUAAUUAAUACAAGUGUAAGCAUUACACAUUUUAUAUUUUUGUUUUAAAUUUAUAAUAUAAUAUAUAUUUUUUGAGUAAUUAAUACAAUUUGUUUCUAAAUCUGUAUACGAUCUUAAAUAUAUAGUAUACGAUUAGUCACUAUCCAGACAUGCUCAAAUAAACCCGAUGGGUAUAAUAGUAACUAAAUAUUCGAACCCACAUCUCUCCCGAACUUGAAUGGGUAGAGUAUGUCUUUCUUUACUGGCCAUUCCUAGUGCAAGUGGCAAAGAGGUUAGUGGUUGGUACCCGAGGUCCCUAGUUCGAAUCCUAGUUGAUUCAUAUUUCUAGCUAAGUUUAUUUCUAAAUGACAUAAACGAUUACAGUAUAUUAACUCUCCCUGUAGUAGAUCUGGUCGACGGCCAUAUCAUUUUGUAAGUACCUACUAGUGUAGAAACCCGCGCGAUGCAGCGGAUAAACAAUAGAAGCAAAAUUUUAAACUUUUAAUAAAAUUUAUAUUUACAGCUUAUUGAUGUAUAGGAAACUAUACCAUGUUAAGUACAGUUAAUUUGCAUGACUAAAUUCAACUGCUAAAAAAAUAAAAUUAUAGUUAGAAGCUUAUAUAAUUUUUUUAAAAAUCAUCAAAAUAUAGUAAGAGACAUACAAUUUUAUCAUAUUAUGUGCCUAUUGAACAUUCUAUUGUGAAAGAUAAAAAAGAGUUAGCUCCAAUGCAGCUGAAUCAACCCAGCGGGCACUUAUAUGGGCCGCGGCUCGGCUUUGCGGGACGAUACUUUUUGAAGGAGACAACGUUCUUUGUAUGUUCUUCUUCUUCUUCAUCAUUCUCAUCAUUUUUAUUAACACAAUGAGAGAGAGAGCUAGAUGAGUAUGGGGUGGGAGAUUAGAUGAUGAUAUUCUUUUUUGCAUGAAAAAUAACAGGCCAUGUAAAAGAGAGGGGGGGCGGGGGAUUAAUAGAGGUGGGGAGUGGAUUGGAAUUACAAAGCCUACUCAUUGGUAGAAUAUGCUGCAUAUAAUUAAAUGUUGUAUUUUGGAUUAAUUAAUUCUCAUGAUUUCAAAGAACUGAGGAGGUUUGAGGGAGAAGAGGGAGAAGUAAAAAUAACCAAUAUUGAAGAGAAAAAUAAGUAACGUAUAAAUUAAAGAGUGCAUUGAUUAAAGGUUAUUGAAUAGAGAGAAGGGGAGAGGAAAAGCCAAGAUCAUUGAAUAGGAGGUGAGGUUGAAAGAAAACUUGCCACGUGGCAAAAACAUUAGGAAUUCAUAUAUGGUAAUAGAUAUGUGGUAGUAUUAUAUAAAACUAAAUAUAUAGUAUAUACAGUGGAGCCAGGCUAUUAUAAUAUUUUAAGUAUGAUUAUCUUCGUGCUUAUAUAUAAGUUAUUUUUCGAUAAUAGAGCUUUCAUAUCGAUGAUUCAUGUUAAUAAAUAAACUUCAGAGCAUUUGAAUAUUUUAGAAAUUGAGUUUAAUAACUUUCUAAUAUCAUAUCCUUUCCAUGAGAGAGCCUCAAAUUUGACAAAUUUGAUAAUUAUCAUAUGUUUCAUAACUUAACAGUGUAAAAGAAUAAAAAAUAGUUAAAUUUUUCAUAAAAUAAUCUAUUCACUAUCUAGAGCAAGAUCAAUAACUCUGAUUUUGAAUUGAACAUUCCAAUUUUCUAUUUAUAGACUGUAAUUUAAUUUUGACUGAUCAUUUUAUAUCCGUUUGAUAGACUUUAUUAUAAAUUUUAAAAAUUAUGAAAUUCGAUUUUAGAUAUUUCAAAUGUCUAAUUCAUAUUUAAUAAAUCAUAUUUAAUAAUAUGAAUCGUCGAUUCUAAGGUCAAUCAAUGAAAAAAAUAUAUGGGAAUACAAAAGCCUCCAUACUUAUAAUACUACAAUUAUAUUUAGAACUAAUUAACUUUCGGAAGUCUUGAAUAUUAAUUUGUGCAUAAAUUUGGAUUGCAAAUCAUGUAAUUUUAGAUUGGCGCAAUGAAUUGAGUACUUUGUUUCUUGUUUUAACCAUAGAACCAGCAAGAGGUGACAGUUUUUUUUUUUUUUUUUCUUCGUUUUUCUGAACCACACGUAUACUUGCUCCCUCCUAAUAAGAUUGUUAGCUCCACCCACCCUAGUUAGCGGUCAAGCAAAAACUAUUUUCUAUAUUUAGAAAUCAAUGCUUUAACUGCGGGAUGGAAGUGGAAGACAUAUAGCCUCACGAGUAGGGCUGGCAAAUAAGCGAGCCAGCUCGUGUUCCACUCGUGUUCGGCUCGAUAUUCGGCUCGCUCGAGUUCGGUUCGAAUUAAUUUCAAACAAGCNUUGAAUAGGAGGUGAGGUUGAAAGAAAACUUGCCACGUGGCAAAAACAUUGUGAAUUCAUAUAUGUUAAUAGAUUGUGGCUUAGAUCAGUUUCUAUAUAUGCAGCUGUAUCUUGAGAGAUUGAUUAUGUACGACAGCGAUCCGAUGCUAAGAUUAUCCGUG
This 2457-nucleotide long non-coding RNA is filed under the name Ananas comosus (pineapple). RNAcentral's name for it is "long non-coding RNA (ACOM_LNC032081)". The record is from RNAcentral. Lineage: Eukaryota; Viridiplantae; Streptophyta; Magnoliopsida; Poales; Bromeliaceae.